CCUACGGGGGGCAGCAGUGAGGAAUAUUGGUCAAUGGCCGGAAGGCUGAACCAGCCAUGCCGCGUGAAGGUCAGUGCCCUAUGGGCGUUAAACUUCUUUUGUGCGGGAGCAAUAAUGGUCACGUGUGGCCAGACGAGAGUACCGUACGAAUAAGCAUCGGCUAACUCCGUGCCAGCAGCCGCGGUAAUACUGGGGAUGCAAGCGUUAUCCGGAUUUAUUGGGUUUUAAGGGUGCGUAGGGUGUGAGGUAAGUCAGCGGUGAAAUGCCCCCGCUCAACGGGGUGAAGUGCCAUUGAUACUGGCAUGCUGGAGUGCGGAUGCCGUGGGAGGAAUGUGUGGUGUAGCGGUGAAAUGCAUAGAUAUCACGAAGAACACCGAUUGCGAAGGCAUCUCACGAAUCCGCGAUUGACGCUGAUGCACGAAAGCGUGGGUAUCAAACAGGAUUAGAUACCCUGGUAGUC
Molecule: ribosomal RNA, 460 nt
Filed under: uncultured bacterium
Lineage: Bacteria
Description: partial 16S ribosomal RNA
Rfam family: Bacterial small subunit ribosomal RNA
Source: RNAcentral